This 795-nucleotide ribosomal RNA is filed under the name uncultured Bacteroidota bacterium. RNAcentral describes it as "bacterial SSU rRNA". It matches the Rfam family "Bacterial small subunit ribosomal RNA", at positions 67 to 854 of the family's 1533-position model. Lineage: Bacteria; Pseudomonadati; Bacteroidota. The record is from RNAcentral.
GGGCAGCAUGGUCUUAGCUUGCUAAGACUGAUGGCGACCGGCGCACGGGUGCGUAACGCGUAUGCAACUUGCCUCACAGAGGGGGAUAACCCGUCGAAAGACGGACUAAUACCGCGUACACUCUAUGUUGGGCAUCCAAUGUAGAGGAAAUGAAAUUCGCUGUGAGAUAGGCAUGCGUCCCAUUAGCUAGUUGGUGAGGUAACGGCUCACCAAGGCGACGAUGGGUAGGGGAACUGAGAGGUUGAACCCCCACACUGGUACUGAGACACGGACCAGACUCCUACGGGAGGCAGCAGUUAGGAAUAUUGGUCAAUGGGCGAGAGCCUGAACCAGCCAAGUCGCGUGAGGGAUGACUGUCUUAUGGAUUGUAAACUUCUUUUAUACGGGAAUAACAAGAGUCACGUGUGGCUCCCUGCAUGUACCGUAUGAAUAAGCAUCGGCUAACUCCGUGCCAGCAGCCGCGGUAAUACGGAGGAUGCGAGCGUUAUCCGGAUUUAUUGGGUUUAAAGGGUGCGUAGGCGGCCUGUUAAGUCAGCGGUGAAAUCUAGGAGCUUUACUCCUAAAUUGCCAUUUAUACUGGCGGGCUUGAGUGUAGAUGAGGUAGGCGGAAUGCGUGGUGUAGCGGUGGAAUGCAUAGAUAUCACGCAGAACUCCGAUUGCGAAGGCAGCUUACUAAGGUACAACUGACGCUGAAGCACGAAAGCGUGGGUAUCAAACAGGAUUAGAUACCCUGGUAGUCCACGCAGUAAACGAUGAUAACUGGGCGUAUGCGAUAUACAGUAUGCUCCUAAGCGA